This 253-nucleotide ribosomal RNA is filed under the name uncultured bacterium. Its description in RNAcentral is "partial 16S ribosomal RNA". It matches the Rfam family "Bacterial small subunit ribosomal RNA", at positions 524 to 776 of the family's 1533-position model. The record is from RNAcentral.
UACGUAGGGGGCAAGCGUUGUCCGGAUUUAUUGGGCGUAAAGAGCGUGUAGGCGGCUAGGUAGGUCCGUUGUGAAAACUCGAGGCUCAACCUCGAGACGCCGGUGGAAACCAUCUAGCUAGAGUCCGGAAGAGGAGAGUGGAAUUCCUGGUGUAGCGGUGAAAUGCGCAGAUAUCAGGAAGAACACCCGUGGCGAAGGCGGCUCUCUGGUACGGGACUGACGCUGAGGCGCGAAAGCGUGGGGAGCGAACAGG